UCGAGAAUUUUUCUCAAUGGGGGAAACCCUGAAGGAGCGACGCCGCGUGGAGGAUGAAGGUCUUCGGGUUGUAAACUCCUGUCAUUUGGGAACAAUGCGUAAAUAUUAACUGUAUUUGCGUUGAUAGUACCAGAAGAGGAAGAGACGGCUAACUCUGUGCCAGCAGCCGCGGUAAUACAGAGGUCUCAAGCGUUGUUCGGAUUCAUUGGGCGUAAAGGGUGCGUAGGCGGCGCGGUAAGUCGGAUGUGAAAUCUCGGGGCUUAACUCCGAAACUGCAUUCGAUACUACCGUGCUUGAGGACUGGAGAGGAGACUGGAAUUUACGGUGUAGCGGUGAAAUGCGUAGAUAUCGUAAGGAAGACCAGUGGCGAAGGCGGGUCUCUGGACAGUUCCUGACGCUGAGGCACGAAGGCCAGGGGAGCAAACGG
Molecule: ribosomal RNA, 427 nt
Filed under: uncultured bacterium
Lineage: Bacteria
Description: bacterial SSU rRNA
Rfam family: Bacterial small subunit ribosomal RNA
Source: RNAcentral